This 72-nucleotide transfer RNA is filed under the name Camelus bactrianus (Bactrian camel). It matches the Rfam family "tRNA". From Rfam's summary of the family: Transfer RNA (tRNA) molecules are approximately 80 nucleotides in length. Their secondary structure includes four short double-helical elements and three loops (D, anti-codon, and T loops). The record is from Rfam by way of RNAcentral. RNAcentral also lists the same sequence under 2 other names. Lineage: Eukaryota; Metazoa; Chordata; Mammalia; Artiodactyla; Camelidae.
GAGGGUAUAGCUCAGUGGUAGAGCACAUGCUUAGCAUUUACAAGGUCCUGGAUUCAAUCCCCAGUACUUUCU